This 1026-nucleotide ribosomal RNA is filed under the name Chalara sp. YTH-2012a. RNAcentral's name for it is "SSU rRNA". It matches the Rfam family "Eukaryotic small subunit ribosomal RNA", at positions 74 to 1110 of the family's 1831-position model. The record is from RNAcentral. Lineage: Eukaryota; Fungi; Ascomycota; Leotiomycetes; Helotiales.
UUGUACUGCGAAACUGCGAAUGGCUCAUUAUAUAAGUUAUCGUUUAUUUGAUAGCACCUUACUACUUGGAUAACCGUGGUAAUUCUAGAGCUAAUACAUGCUAAAAAUCCCGACUUCGGAAGGGAUGUAUUUAUUAGAUUAAAAACCAAUGCCCUUCGGGGCUCCCUGGUGAUUCAUGAUAACUUUUCGAAUCGCAUGGCCUUGCGCCGGCGAUGGUUCAUUCAAAUUUCUUCCCUAUCAACUUUCGAUGCGAAGGUCUUGUCUUCGCAUGGUGACAACGGGUAACGGAGGGUUAGGGCUCGACCCCGGAGAAGGAGCCUGAGAAACGGCUACUACAUCCAAGGAAGGCAGCAGGCGCGCAAAUUACCCAAUCCCGACACGGGGAGGUAGUGACAAUAAAUACUGAUACAGGGCUCUUUUGGGUCUUGUAAUCGGAAUGAGUACAAUUUAAAUCCCUUAACGAGGAACAAUUGGAGGGCAAGUCUGGUGCCAGCAGCCGCGGUAAUUCCAGCUCCAAUAGCGUAUAUUAAAGUUGUUGUGGUUAAAAAGCUCGUAGUUGAACCUUGGGCCUGGCUGGCCGGUCCCCCUCACCGGGUGCACUGGUCCGGCCGGGCCUUUCCCUCUGUGGAACCGCAUGCCCUUUAUUGGGUGUGUCGGGGAAACAGGACUUUUACUGUGAAAAAAUUAGAGUGCUCCAGGCAGGCCUAUGCUCGAAUACAUUAGCAUGGAAUAAUAGAAUAGGACGUGUGGUUCUAUUUUGUUGGUUUCUAGGACCGCCGUAAUGAUUAAUAGGGACAGUCGGGGGCAUCAGUAUUCAAUUGUCAGAGGUGAAAUUCUUGGAUCUAUUGAAGACUAACUACUGCGAAAGCAUUUGCCAAGGAUGUUUUCAUUGAUAAGGAACGAAAGUUAGGGGAUCGAAGACGAUCAGAUACCGUCGUAGUCUUAACUAUAAACUAUGCCGACUAGGGAUCGGACGAUGUUACUUUUUGACUCGUUCGGCACCUUUCGAGAAAUCAAAGUGCUUGG